RNAcentral lists this ribosomal RNA (482 nucleotides) under uncultured Geobacillus sp. RNAcentral describes it as "bacterial SSU rRNA". It matches the Rfam family "Bacterial small subunit ribosomal RNA", at positions 902 to 1382 of the family's 1533-position model. The record is from RNAcentral. Lineage: Bacteria; Bacillati; Bacillota; Bacilli; Caryophanales; Anoxybacillaceae.
CAAAUGAAUUGACGGGGCCGGCACAAGCGGUGGAGCAUGUGGUUUAAUUUCGACGCAACGCGAAGAACUUACCAGGGCUUGACAUCCCCUGACCGCGUAUGAAAGUACGUUUUCACCCUCGGGUGGACAGGGAGACAGGUGGUGCAUGGUUGUCGUCAGCUCGUGUCGUGAGAUGUUGGGUUAGGUCCCGCAACGAGCGCAACCCCUACGUUUAGUUGCUAACAGGUGAAGCUGAGCACUCUAGACGAACUGCCGUUGACAAAACGGAGGAAGGUGGGAUGACGUCAAAUCAUCAUGCCCCCUAUGACCUGGGCUACACACGUGCUACAAUGGGCGGUACAAAGGGCUGCGAACCCGCGAGGGGGAGCGAAUCCCAAAAAGCCGCUCUCAGUUCGGAUUGCAGGCUGCAACUCGCCUGCAUGAAGCCGGAAUCGCUAGUAAUCGCGGAUCAGCAUGCCGCGGUGAAUACGUUCCCGGGCCUU